Molecule: unclassified non-coding RNA, 297 nt
Filed under: Mortierella sp.
Lineage: Eukaryota; Fungi; Mortierellomycota; Mortierellomycetes; Mortierellales; Mortierellaceae
Description: partial internal transcribed spacer region
Rfam family: Eukaryotic small subunit ribosomal RNA (bases 1-46)
Source: RNAcentral
AAGUCGUAACAAGGUUUCCGUAGGUGAACCUGCGGAAGGAUCAUUCAUAAAUUGUCUAAUCAUAUGGACAUUUUAAAUCCAUAUCCACCUUGUGUGCAUUGUUAUUAGUUUGCUUUGGUAUACUUUUGUAAGUGGUUUAAAAGUUUUUAUAUUUUUAUUUCACUUCUACUCUUUGUUUUACAAGGGGUUGGGUAUGCCAGAGUUAAAUAUUUAAACACCUUUUGAAAUUCUUUUGUCUGAAAACUUUUGAACUUAUAAUUCAAAAUACAACUUUCAACAACGGAUCUCUAGGUUCUC